This 276-nucleotide ribosomal RNA is filed under the name uncultured bacterium. RNAcentral's name for it is "partial 16S ribosomal RNA". It matches the Rfam family "Bacterial small subunit ribosomal RNA", at positions 79 to 354 of the family's 1533-position model. The record is from RNAcentral.
CUUUCUCCGCCGGCGACCGGCGCACGGGUGAGUAACACGUAUGCAACCUGCCCCUGUCAGGGGGACAACCCGCCGAAAGGCGGGCUAAACCCGCGUACGUGCCACCGGGGCAUCCCGGAGGCAGGAAAGGCUUCGGCCGGACAGGGAUGGGCAUGCGGCGCAUUAGGCAGUAGGCGGGGUAACGGCCCACCUAACCGACGAUGCGUAGGGGUUCUGAGAGGAAGGUCCCCCACACUGGUACUGAGACACGGACCAGACUCCUACGGGAGGCAGCAG